This 377-nucleotide ribosomal RNA is filed under the name uncultured bacterium. RNAcentral describes it as "bacterial SSU rRNA". It matches the Rfam family "Bacterial small subunit ribosomal RNA", at positions 524 to 898 of the family's 1533-position model. The record is from RNAcentral.
UACGUAGGGGGCAAGCGUUAUCCGGAUUUAUUGGGCGUAAAGCGCGCGUAGGCGGCUUGUUAAGUCGGAUGUGAAAACCGGGGGCUCAACCCGCGGACUGCAUCUGAAACUGGCAGGCUUGAGUCUGGUAGAGGAGUGUGGAAUUCCUAGUGUAGCGGUGAAAUGCGCAGAUAUUAGGAGGAACACCAGUGGCGAAGGCGGCACUCUGGGCCACGACUGACGCUGAGGUGCGAAAGCUAGGGGAGCAAACAGGAUUAGAUACCCUGGUAGUCCUAGCCGUAAACGAUGGGCACUAGGUGUGGGGGAUCAUCGACAUCUUCCGUGCCGAAGCUAACGCAUUAAGUGCCCCGCCUGGGGAGUACGGCCGCAAGGUUAAA